RNAcentral lists this ribosomal RNA (271 nucleotides) under Musca domestica (house fly). Its description in RNAcentral is "Eukaryotic large subunit ribosomal RNA". It matches the Rfam family "Eukaryotic large subunit ribosomal RNA", at positions 964 to 1318 of the family's 3401-position model. The record is from Rfam by way of RNAcentral. Lineage: Eukaryota; Metazoa; Arthropoda; Insecta; Diptera; Muscidae.
AAGUUUUCCCCUGGAUAGCUGGUGCAUUUAAAAAUUAUGUAAGACAAUCUUAUCUGGUAAAGCGAAUUAUUAGAGGCUUUUAAAUGGGUAAGAACCACACCUUUCUUGGUAAGAAGGUGUGGCUGUUAUAUAAUGUGCCCAGUGGACCACUUUUGGUAAGUAGAACUGGCGCUGUGGGAUGAAGCAAACGUAAUGUUACGGUACCCUGCCAAUACCAAAUUUGAAACAAUUCCGGUGAAUAAACUCGCUAAAAUCGUCAAAACACCGAAUA